This 143-nucleotide ribosomal RNA is filed under the name Aeromonas veronii. RNAcentral's name for it is "partial 16S ribosomal RNA". It matches the Rfam family "Bacterial small subunit ribosomal RNA", at positions 1 to 133 of the family's 1533-position model. The record is from RNAcentral. Lineage: Bacteria; Pseudomonadati; Pseudomonadota; Gammaproteobacteria; Aeromonadales; Aeromonadaceae.
UUAAAUUGAAGAGUUUGAUCAUGGCUCAGAUUGAACGCUGGCGGCAGGCCUAACACAUGCAAGUCGAGCGGCAGCGGGAAAGUAGCUUGCUACUUUUGCCGGCGAGCGGCGGACGGGUGAGUAAUGCCUGGGGAUCUGCCCAG